CCUCACCACUCACCAGCAGGGACCCUCCAAGAACCUCUGCUGAAUUUAUUUGGCUGACAAAGAAAAACAAUUUUCUGAGCUGCCUAUUUAAUAACCCCUCAGCACAGCUAAAUGAUGUCUC
This is an unclassified non-coding RNA of Chlorocebus sabaeus (green monkey), 121 nucleotides long. The record is from Ensembl. NCBI's taxonomy places the organism in Eukaryota, Metazoa, Chordata, Mammalia, Primates, Cercopithecidae.